UAUGCUACCGGUCCGGUCACCUUUUGGCCGGUUUCUGGAGAGAUAGUUCCGGUUCCUGGAGUCUGGGGCCAAUUUGGGGAUGAUGACCAAGUUCUACUGAGAAGGGCGGUGUGGAAGCUUUUGAACCGGGAAGAGAUAUUUUUCUCUCUUUGGAGGACCGGUUUGGUACUUUUCCGGUCGGUUCUGGUGAUGCCGCCGGCGGUUCUAGGCUCCUGGGAUCUAGAGCUUCAAGGGUUUCAGGGUUAGGGCGUCAUGCUGAUAACGUGUUUUAGGAAAUCAGAAAUUGAGAGAUAAUCGCUGUCUAUUCUCAUUGAUAAUAGGGGCCUCUUUAUAUAGAGGAUUACAAUGCAUAGAAUCUCAAUCAUACAAGGAAAGUAAUUCUACAUUGAUUAGGAUUAUAGAUCCUUCUAAUUAAAUCAUAUUACCACUAGGUCAAGUAACCUAGAGUUUGGGCUAAACACAAAUUAGGUUUUCCUUG
RNAcentral lists this long non-coding RNA (478 nucleotides) under Rosa chinensis. Its description in RNAcentral is "sRNA RchiOBHm_Chr2g0122941". The record is from RNAcentral. Lineage: Eukaryota; Viridiplantae; Streptophyta; Magnoliopsida; Rosales; Rosaceae.